RNAcentral lists this ribosomal RNA (253 nucleotides) under uncultured bacterium. RNAcentral describes it as "partial 16S ribosomal RNA". It matches the Rfam family "Bacterial small subunit ribosomal RNA", at positions 524 to 776 of the family's 1533-position model. The record is from RNAcentral.
UACGAACGGUGCGAACGUUGUUCGGAAUCACUGGGCUUAAAGGGCGCGUAGGCGGGCCGCCGCGUCCGGGGUGAAAUCCCCCCGCUCAACGGGGGGACGGCCUCGGAUACGGGAGGGCUGGAGGCGGGUAGGGGGACGCGGAACUGUGGGUGGAGCGGUGAAAUGCGUAGAUAUCAGGAGGAACACCUGUGGUGUAGACAGCUUACUGGACCAUUUCUGACGCUGAGACACGAAAGCGUGGGUAGCAAACAGG